CCUACUGUGUGCAGCAGUGGGGAAUAUUGGGCAAUGGGCGCAAGCCUGACCCAGCAACGCCGCGUGAAGGAAGAAGGCUUUCGGGUUGUAAACUUCUUUUCUCAGGGACGAAGCAAGUGACGGUACCUGAGGACUAAGACACGGCUAACUACGUGCCAGCAGCCGCGGUAAUACGUAGGUGGCAAGCGUUAUCCGGAUGUACUGGGUGUAAAGGGCGUGUAGGCGGGAAAGCAAGUCAGAUGUGAAACCCAAGGGCUCAACCUGUGGCCUGCAUUUGACACUGUUUUUCUUGAGUACUGGAGAGGCAGACGGAAGUCCUAUUGUAGCGGUGAAAUGCGUAGAGAUUAGGAGGAACACCAGUGGCGAAGGCGGUCUGCUGGACAGCAACUGACGCUGAGGCGCGAAAGCGUGGGGAGCAAACAGGAUUAGAUACCCUUGUAGUC
RNAcentral lists this ribosomal RNA (443 nucleotides) under uncultured bacterium. RNAcentral's name for it is "partial 16S ribosomal RNA". It matches the Rfam family "Bacterial small subunit ribosomal RNA", at positions 338 to 795 of the family's 1533-position model. The record is from RNAcentral.